UUAAGUUAUUAAGGGCGCACGGUGGAUGCCUUGGCACUAGAAGCCGAUGAAGGACGUUACUAACGACGAUAUGCUUUGGGGAGCUGUAAGUAAGCUUUGAUCCAGAGAUUUCCGAAUGGGGAAACCCAGCAUGAGUUAUGUCAUGUUAUCGAUAUGUGAAUACAUAGCAUAUCAGAAGGCACACCCGGAGAACUGAAACAUCUUAGUACCCGGAGGAAGAGAAAGAAAAUUCGAUUCCCUUAGUAGCGGCGAGCGAAACGGGAAGAGCCCAAACCAAAAAGCUUGCUUGUUGGGGUUGUAGGACACUCUAUACGGAGUUACAAAGGACGACAUUAGACGAAUCAUCUGGAAAGAUGAAUCAAAGAAGGUAAUAAUCCUGUAGUCGAAAAUGUUGUCUCUCUUGAGUGGAUCCUGAGUACGACGGAGCACGUGAAAUUCCGUCGGAAUCUGGGAGGACCAUCUCCUAAGGCUAAAUACUCUCUAGUGACCGAUAGUGAACCAGUACCGUGAGGGAAAGGUGAAAAGCACCCCGGAAGGAGAGUGAAAUAGAACCUGAAACCGUGUGCUUACAAGUAGUCAGAGCCCGUUAAUGGGUGAUGGCGUGCCUUUUGUAGAAUGAACCGGCGAGUUACGAUUUGAUGCAAGGUUAAGCAGUAAAUGUGGAGCCGUAGCGAAAGCGAGUCUGAAUAGGGCGUUUAGUAUUUGGUCGUAGACCCGAAACCAGGUGAUCUACCCUUGGUCAGGUUGAAGUUCAGGUAACACUGAAUGGAGGACCGAACCGACUUACGUUGAAAAGUGAGCGGAUGAACUGAGGGUAGCGGAGAAAUUCCAAUCGAACCUGGAGAUAGCUGGUUCUCUCCGAAAUAGCUUUAGGGCUAGCCUCAAGUGAUGAUUAUUGGAGGUAGAGCACUGUUUGGACGAGGGGCCCCUCUCGGGUUACCGAAUUCAGACAAACUCCGAAUGCCAAUUAAUUUAACUUGGGAGUCAGAACAUGGGUGAUAAGGUCCGUGUUCGAAAGGGAAACAGCCCAGACCACCAGCUAAGGUCCCAAAAUAUAUGUUAAGUGGAAAAGGAUGUGGCGUUGCCCAGACAACUAGGAUGUUGGCUUAGAAGCAGCCAUCAUUUAAAGAGUGCGUAAUAGCUCACUAGUCGAGUGACACUGCGCCGAAAAUGUACCGGGGCUAAACAUAUUACCGAAGCUGUGGAUUGUCCUUUGGACAAUGGUAGGAGAGCGUUCUAAGGGCGUUGAAGCAUGAUCGUAAGGACAUGUGGAGCGCUUAGAAGUGAGAAUGCCGGUGUGAGUAGCGAAAGACGGGUGAGAAUCCCGUCCACCGAUUGACUAAGGUUUCCAGAGGAAGGCUCGUCCGCUCUGGGUUAGUCGGGUCCUAAGCUGAGGCCGACAGGCGUAGGCGAUGGAUAACAGGUUGAUAUUCCUGUACCACCUAUAAUCGUUUUAAUCGAUGGGGGGACGCAGUAGGAUAGGCGAAGCGUGCGAUUGGAUUGCACGUCUAAGCAGUAAGGCUGAGUAUUAGGCAAAUCCGGUACUCGUUAAGGCUGAGCUGUGAUGGGGAGAAGACAUUGUGUCUUCGAGUCGUUGAUUUCACACUGCCGAGAAAAGCCUCUAGAUAGAAAAUAGGUGCCCGUACCGCAAACCGACACAGGUAGUCAAGAUGAGAAUUCUAAGGUGAGCGAGCGAACUCUCGUUAAGGAACUCGGCAAAAUGACCCCGUAACUUCGGGAGAAGGGGUGCUCUUUAGGGUUAACGCCCAGAAGAGCCGCAGUGAAUAGGCCCAAGCGACUGUUUAUCAAAAACACAGGUCUCUGCUAAACCGUAAGGUGAUGUAUAGGGGCUGACGCCUGCCCGGUGCUGGAAGGUUAAGAGGAGUGGUUAGCUUCUGCGAAGCUACGAAUCGAAGCCCCAGUAAACGGCGGCCGUAACUAUAACGGUCCUAAGGUAGCGAAAUUCCUUGUCGGGUAAGUUCCGACCCGCACGAAAGGCGUAACGAUUUGGGCACUGUCUCAACGAGAGACUCGGUGAAAUCAUAGUACCUGUGAAGAUGCAGGUUACCCGCGACAGGACGGAAAGACCCCGUGGAGCUUUACUGUAGCCUGAUAUUGAAAUUCGGCACAGCUUGUACAGGAUAGGUAGGAGCCUUUGAAACGUGAGCGCUAGCUUACGUGGAGGCGCUGGUGGGAUACUACCCUAGCUGUGUUGGCUUUCUAACCCGCACCACUUAUCGUGGUGGGAGACAGUGUCAGGCGGGCAGUUUGACUGGGGCGGUCGCCUCCUAAAAGGUAACGGAGGCGCUCAAAGGUUCCCUCAGAAUGGUUGGAAAUCAUUCAUAGAGUGUAAA
This 2354-nucleotide ribosomal RNA is filed under the name Staphylococcus aureus SJOS6144. Its description in RNAcentral is "bacterial LSU rRNA". It matches the Rfam family "Bacterial large subunit ribosomal RNA", at positions 3 to 2355 of the family's 2925-position model. The record is from RNAcentral. Lineage: Bacteria; Bacillati; Bacillota; Bacilli; Caryophanales; Staphylococcaceae. RNAcentral also lists the same sequence under 5 other names.